GUCUUAUCUGGACUCAGCAAAGAUAAGGAAAAGAGGGAAGAAAAUGUUAGAAAUUCAUUCUGGAUUUAUGACAUUGUGAGGAAUAGUUGGUCUUGUGUCUAUAAGAAUGAUCAAGCUGCAAAGGAUAAUCCAACUAAAAGUCUUCAGGAAGAAGAACCGUGUCCAAGGUUUGCCCAUCAGCUUGUAUACGAUGAGCUACACAAGGUUCAUUACUUAUUUGGUGGGAAUCCAGGAAAAUCUUGCUCUCCAAAGAUGAGAUUAGAUGACUUCUGGUCACUGAAGUUGUGUAGACCUUCAAAAGAUUAUUUACUGAGGCAUUGCAAGUACCUCAUAAGAAAACACAGGUUUGAAGAAAAGGCCCAAAUGGAUCCCCUUAGUGCUCUGAAAUAUUUACAAAAUGAUCUUUAUAUAACUGUGGAUCAUUCAGACCCAGAAGAGACAAAAGAGGCUUUUCUGAUGUGGAUCACACCUAUGCUCAAAGAACUCAGCUCUUUGACACCUUAGUAAAUUUCUUUCCUGACAGCAUGACUCCUCCUAAAGGCAACCUGGUAGACCUCAUCACACUGUAACUGAAGAGUCACUGGACACAGAAAUGGAAAACAGGAGUCGAUUUUCCGUCUUUUGGAUUGCAGCUCCACUGACUGACAGUAAAGCUGCAGUGAUUGAGGACUGCACCAGAGUUCUGAAGGGAUCUUAACCAUCACAAGUUUUUACCCUCUUCCUUCAUGCCUGACCUCAACCCCGCUCUCCUCAUCCUAUUCCUAAAUUAGGCUAAUAAAGUGAAAUUGGUAUACUUUCCAGUUAAAUAUAUAUAUAUAUAUUUUUUCUUACUUUAUCUUUUAAGAAUUAAUGAGUAUAAAAGAAAAAUUAGGCAGUUUACCCUUUUCAGAUUUUUAUUUCUUUUUUUUUUUUAAUUGGGGGAAAUAAGCACUAUUAACAGAUUCAGCACUACAAGUAUUUUGAAUGUUGUUGCUGUUGGUCAUUUGGCCUGCCUUUUCCCUUCCCAUUUCACUUUGCCUCCCAUCACACAACUGCGUGUAAAUGGUGUCACUUGUUCACCUCUUUACUUCAUUCUUAACAAGUGUAUAGUUCUCUAGGACAGUUGAUGUAUGUUAAGGUGAUAUCUGUGUCUGUAUUGACUUGUCUUGUGUUACAUUAAACAGUAGGCAGAACUGAGGUCUCAAGUUUGCACUCUUGGCCAUAGAACUAAAAAUGAAACCUGAGAUUGACCCAAGCACCUAUCUGAGAUUGGUAUAUAAUAUUUCUAUAAUGAUAUAUUUUAUAGUAGAUAUUACAAUAGCAUCUGACUUUGAGUCACAGAAACCUUAAACUGAGGAGACAAUAGUUGAGAACCUUUAAGAGCCAUUCUAAAAAUGACCAGCAGGAGGGAUCUAGUAGUGAAUAAUAUCUUAAUAGCAAUUUUAGGAGAAAAUGACUCUUUCGUCCAGAAGAGCUCUGCAGAACCAGGGCUCCCAUUUAUCUUGUGCUAUCUCUGUAGUAUUUUCAUUUGAGAGAGGAGGCUGAGUUUCCAGAGCUUUGCUUUCAUUUAUUUUUAUACACAUUGUCUCUCUAUAUCUGCUUGUGGAUAUUGUUAUUUUGAAGAGAAAUGGUUUGUGGUUGUCCAGUGGUAUACAACUGACAGGCAUUUCAUUAAGCACAUAGACCAGACUUUGUGAAUGGUUCAGAUAUUUUUUCAUUAAAAAACAAGGUAUGGCAGAUGGACUUUUCCAUGGGUCAAAUUUUUUGUGUGAGAGAUAGAGGUACAUGUCUUCUGAUGAUGUGCUGUGGAAUGCAAUGUGGGAAACCUACAUCUGGCUAGUGCUUACAUUUGCUCAAAAAGCAUGUUGUAUGAAGCUGACUGCCACCAUGCUAAAGCAGAUUCAUAUUAAGAAGUGUCGGUCGAUCCAGUGGCUCUUAAGAGUGAAUAGCUUUAUGGAAUCAAGUAUGUCCCUGAGUAGCAAGAUUAGGCCUCACCAAAGAAGAAAUUAACCUGCACUUUCAAAAAGUACCAUGUAUAGGAAUGAAACAUUGAGGUCCCACUUUAUUCUGUCUUUAGUACAUGGUUUUACUUAUUUUGGGGAUGGAUAGAAAUAUAUUUUUGCUAGUUCUAGGCUUGAAUCAUGGGCUCCUUGGCUUUCCUAGCAUCCCAAAGCAGUCAACAGUGAUUUCUUAAGCAAUUUGAUCUGUACCUUUACUUGUGAAAGGUAUGCUAUAUAAUUCAGCAAGUACCAACUUGUGUAGCUGCAGAAUAACCAAGUGGCUAUCCAGUCAAGUAAAUACAGUUUGCUUACAUACUUCAACAGUUUCAUAAAACGAUUCCCCUGAGUGACACAAGAACAUAAAAUGUUAAUAUCACUAAUAUAGCCUGUUAAAUCUUUUGUGGAGACAGGUGCAAAUCAGAAGAUUGACAAGGAAGAACUUGAGCUUGCUAAGACUUCCUAAAUUUAAAAGCUCUAGUUUUGCUUAGUGUGAAUUCUGGCACUUUAAAAAGAUUAAGCAAGUGAAAAUCUGCUGCCCUCCACCAUUUAUUUUUACAGUGCUUUGUAAUUUUUUUCAUCAGUUCCUUAAAUGUUAUUUGGAGGAAACUAAGUUCUUGACCUCAGUAAUUUUAUUUUUGUUUUUCCCUAAAUGUUUCCCUACUAGUCUUCUUGGAAAACAUGUUUAAUUUCAUCUUCCCUCACUUUAUUUAGGUAGAAUUUUUCCCCCUUCAUUUCUGAAAUUUUUUGCUCACCGCCAUGUUUAAAUGGGGUUGAAUCAUAGCGAGCCAUUUGCUCUUGCCAAAGUGAGAUAGAUGUACUGAGGAGAUAAUUGAAAAGUCAGACUCUGUACUGUGGGGCUUUAAUCGGAGCACUGCUGGAAAUGAUUGCAGAGAAUGUAGUGCUUCAUAUAUCCAUGACCAAGAUUGACAUGUUGCUCACAACAUGUCACAAUUUAGUGAGGAGCUACAUGUAUUUCCAAGAAUUCCAGCAUAGAUUAUAAUUUAAAUAAUCGAAUUUGGUAUUUAGGUACAUUGUUUAUAUAGCCAAGUGUAUAUGCUUUACUACCUAACAAUUAUUCUAGCCUAGGUGAAUCCCUAAUUGAAACACCUGGCUAACACUUUAGACACAUAAAUUAAGUGGGAUACAGUUUUCUCAUUUGUAUUAUCUCCAGCUUCAACCUCAUUCAUCCUUUUUCCUAGUAUAAUACAUUGUUUUCAACCAGAAAUUAAAGUAGAUAUCCAACAUUAUUUUCAGUGCUUGUACUUCAUGAGAAAUAAUCUGAUUUUCAAGACACCUCUUAAGUGCAUUUGCAUUUUAUUUUGGUAAUGGCAGAGACCUCAUGUGGCCAGUUUGAUUGAUUGAAGAAUGUAUCACUCUUAUUCAAGCAAAG
This 3369-nucleotide small RNA is filed under the name Pan troglodytes (chimpanzee). RNAcentral describes it as "processed transcript". Lineage: Eukaryota; Metazoa; Chordata; Mammalia; Primates; Hominidae. The record is from RNAcentral.